Molecule: non-coding RNA, 237 nt
Organism: Pelobates cultripes (western spadefoot toad)
Lineage: Eukaryota; Metazoa; Chordata; Amphibia; Anura; Pelobatidae
Source: the annotation of a GenBank genome assembly
CACUUUUUGUCCCAAUAUAAAAAUAAAGGGCUCAUCAUAUAAACAAUCAUACAUCCCACUCUCAUGAAAAAGUGUAGUGGGCUUAUAGUACUUUUGUCCAAGUAUAAAAAUAAGGGCUCAUUAUGCAAACAAACAUACAUGCAGAGAAAUCAUGUUAGUUCUAGAAUCUGUAGCCCCCCUUAAACAACCUCUAUUUUUUUUCUCUUAUUCAUCAUCGCCUUUACAUGUACUUUUGAC